This 428-nucleotide ribosomal RNA is filed under the name uncultured bacterium. RNAcentral's name for it is "bacterial SSU rRNA". It matches the Rfam family "Bacterial small subunit ribosomal RNA", at positions 355 to 776 of the family's 1533-position model. The record is from RNAcentral.
UCGAGAAUAUUUAGCAAUGGACGAAAGUCUGACUAUGCGACGCCGCGUGCAGGAUGAAGGUCUUCGGAUUGUAAACUGCUUUUGUUAGGGGAGAAACCUGUACCAUUAAUAGUGGUACAGCUGACGGUACCUGACGAAUAAGCCACGGCAAACUCCGUGCCAGCAGCCGCGGUAAUACGGAGGUGGCAAGCGUUACUCGGAAUUAUUGGGUGUAAAGGGCAGGUAGGUGGUCUUGCAAGUGAGAGGUGAAAUCCCACGGUUCAAUCGUGGAACUGCCUUUCAAACUGCAGGACUUGAGAGUGUUAGGGGAGAAUGGAAUUCCCGGUGUAAGGGUGAAAUCUGUAGAUAUCGGGAAGAACACCAACAGCGAAGGCAAUUCUCUGGGACAUUUCUGACACUGAACUGCGAAAGCUAGGGGAGCAAACAGA